GACGAACGCUGGCGGCGUGCUUAACACAUGCAAGUCGAACGGAAAGGCCCUGCUUUUGUGGGGUGCUCGAGUGGCGAACGGGUGAGUAACACGUGAGUAACCUGCCCUUGACUUUGGGAUAACUUCAGGAAACUGGGGCUAAUACCGGAUAGGAGCUCCUGCUGCAUGGUGGGGGUUGGAAAGUUUCGGCGGUUGGGGAUGGACUCGCGGCUUAUCAGCUUGUUGGUGGGGUAGUGGCUUACCAAGGCUUUGACGGGUAGCCGGCCUGAGAGGGUGACCGGCCACAUUGGGACUGAGAUACGGCCCAGACUCCUACGGGAGGCAGCAGUGGGGAAUAUUGCACAAUGGGCGGAAGCCUGAUGCAGCAACGCCGCGUGCGGGAUGACGGCCUUCGGGUUGUAAACCGCUUUCGCCUGUGACGAAGCGUGAGUGACGGUAAUGGGUAAAGAAGCACCGGCUAACUACGUGCCAGCAGCCGCGGUGAUACGUAGGGUGCGAGCGUUGUCCGGAUUUAUUGGGCGUAAAGGGCUCGUAGGUGGUUGAUCGCGUCGGAAGUGUAAUCUUGGGGCUUAACCCUGAGCGUGCUUUCGAUACGGGUUGACUUGAGGAAGGUAGGGGAGAAUGGAAUUCCUGGUGGAGCGGUGGAAUGCGCAGAUAUCAGGAGGAACACCAGUGGCGAAGGCGGUUCUCUGGGCCUUUCCUGACGCUGAGGAGCGAAAGCGUGGGGAGCGAACAGGCUUAGAUACCCUGGUAGUCCACGCUGUAAACGGUGGGUACUAGGUGUGGGGUCCAUUCCACGGGUUCCGUGCCGUAGCUAACGCUCUAAGUACCCCGCCUGGGGAGUACGGCCGCAAGGCUAAAACUCAAAGGAAUUGACGGGGCCCCGCACAAGCGGCGGAGCAUGCGGAUUAAUUCGAUGCAACGCGUAGAACCUUACCUGGGUUUGACAUGGAUCGGGAGUGCUCAGAGAUGGGUGUGCCUCUUUUGGGGUCGGUUCACAGGUGGUGCAUGGCUGUCGUCAGCUCGUGUCGUGAGAUGUUGGGUUAAGUCCCGCAACGAGCGCAACCCUUGUUCACUGUUGCCAGCACGUUAUGGUGGGGACUCAGUGGAGACCGCCGGGGUCAACUCGGAGGAAGGUGGGGAUGACGUCAAGUCAUCAUGCCCCUUAUGUCCAGGGCUUCACGCAUGCUACAAUGGCUGGUACAGAGAGUGGCGAGCCUGUGAGGGUGAGCGAAUCUCGGAAAGCCGGUCUCAGUUCGGAUUGGAGUCUGCAACUCGACCUCAUGAAGUCGGAGUCGCUAGUAAUCGCAGAUCAGCAACGCUGCGGUGAAUACGUUCCCGGG
RNAcentral lists this ribosomal RNA (1343 nucleotides) under uncultured bacterium. RNAcentral describes it as "16S ribosomal RNA". It matches the Rfam family "Bacterial small subunit ribosomal RNA", at positions 28 to 1378 of the family's 1533-position model. The record is from RNAcentral.